AAUCAACGCUGGCGGCGUGCCUAACACAUGCAAGUCGAACGAGAAAGUGGAGCAAUCCAUGAGUAAAGUGGCGCACGGGUGAGUAACACGUGACUAACCUACCUUUUAGUGGGGGAUAACCUAGGGAAACCUGGGCUAAUACCGCAUAAUACCUACGGGUCAAAGCAGCAAUGCGCUGAAAGAGGGGGUCGCGGCCGAUUAGCUAGUUGGCGGGGUAAUGGCCCACCAAGGCGAUGAUCGGUAUCCGGCCUGAGAGGGCGCACGGACACACUGGAACUGAAACACGGUCCAGACUCCUACGGGAGGCAGCAGUGGGGAAUUUUGCGCAAUGGGGGAAACCCUGACGCAGCAACGCCGCGUGGAGGAUGAAGUCCCUUGGGACGUAAACUCCUUUCGAUCGGGAAGAUAAUGACGGUACCGGAAGAAGAAGCCCCGGCUAACUUCGUGCCAGCAGCCGCGGUAAUACGAGGGGGGGCAAGCGUUGUUCGGAAUUAUUGGGGCGUAAAGGGUGCCGUA
Molecule: ribosomal RNA, 516 nt
Filed under: uncultured Acidobacteriaceae bacterium
Lineage: Bacteria; Pseudomonadati; Acidobacteriota; Terriglobia; Terriglobales; Acidobacteriaceae
Description: bacterial SSU rRNA
Rfam family: Bacterial small subunit ribosomal RNA
Source: RNAcentral